GCAUAUCAAUAAGCGGAGGAAAAGAAACCAACAGGGAUUGCCUCAGUAACGGCGAGUGAAGCGGCAACAGCUCAAAUUUGAAAUCUGGCCCCAGGCCCGAGUUGUAAUUUGCAGAGGAUGCUUUUGGYGCGGUGCCUUCCRAGUUCCCURGAACGGGACGCCAKAGAGGGUGAGAGCCCCGUACRGUUGGACACCAAGCCUUUGUAAAGCUCCUUCGACGAGUCGAGUAGUUUGGGAAUGCUGCUCWAAAUGGGAGGUAUAUUUCUUCUAAAGCUAAAUAMMGGCCAGAGACCGAUAGCGCACAAGUAGAGUGAUCGAAAGAUGAAAAGCACUUUGAAAAGAGGGUUAAACAGCACGUGAAAUUGUUAAAAGGGAAGCGCUUGUGACCAGACUUGCGUCCGGUGAAUCACCCAGCUCUCGCGGCUGGGGCACUUYGCCGGCWCAGGCCAGCAUCAGCUCGCUGUCGGGGACAAAAGCUUCRGGAACGUAGCUCUCUUCGGGGAGUGUUAUAGCCYGUUGCAYAAUACCCUUCGGYGGGCUGAGGUACGCGCUCCGCAAGGAUGCUGGCRUAAUGGUCAUCAGCGACCCGUCUUGAAACACGGACCAAGGAGUCAACCUUAUGUGCGAGUGUUYGGGUGUYAAACCCCUACGCGUAAUGAAAGUGAACGCAGGUGAGAGCUUCGGCGCAUCAUCGACCGAUCCUGAUGUUCUCGGAUGGAUUUGAGUAAGAGCAUAUAGGGUUGGACCCGAAAGAAGGUGAACUAUGCGUGUAUAGGGUGAAGCCAGAGGAAACUCUGGUGGAGGCUCGCAGCGGUUCUGACGUGCAAAUCGAUCGUCAAAUAUGCGCAUGGGGGCGAAAGACUAAUCGAMCCUUCUAGUAGCUGGUUUCCGCCGAAGU
Molecule: ribosomal RNA, 898 nt
Filed under: Colletotrichum gloeosporioides
Lineage: Eukaryota; Fungi; Ascomycota; Sordariomycetes; Glomerellales; Glomerellaceae
Description: partial large subunit ribosomal RNA
Rfam family: Eukaryotic large subunit ribosomal RNA
Source: RNAcentral